GAAAGAGCAAAAUCCUUGCACAGAAAAGAUGGGAUCAAAUCUGGUAGAGACCAUAACAAGAUAGGAGUAAAGAUCAACAUCCAGUGAAGCAGGAGACAAUGCAGAAAAGGAUGCGUGUGAACAGCAGGAACACUUUGUGAUUUUCCAAAAAUACACCAUGGAUUUCUGUAUGAUGAAGAAGAUUAUAACCCUUUUUCCCAAGUUCCUACAGGGGAAGUUUUCUAUUACUCCUGUGAAUAUAAUUUUGUGUCUCCUUCAAAAUCCUUUUGGACUCGCAUAACAUGCACAGAAGAAGGAUGGUCACCAACACCGAAGUGUCUCAGAAUGUGUUCCUUUCCUUUUGUGAAAAAUGGUCAUUCUGAAUCUUCAGGACUAAUACAUCUGGAAGGUGAUACUGUACAAAUUAUUUGCAACACAGGAUACAGCCUUCAAAACAAUGAGAAAAACAUUUCGUGUGUAGAACGGGGCUGGUCCACUCCUCCCAUAUGCAGCUUCACUAAAGGAGAAUGUCAUGUUCCAAUUUUAGAAGCCAAUGUAGAUGCUCAGCCAAAAAAAGAAAGCUACAAAGUUGGAGACGUGUUGAAAUUCUCCUGCAGAAAAAAUCUUAUAAGAGUUGGAUCAGACUCAGUUCAAUGUUACCAAUUUGGGUGGUCACCUAACUUUCCAACAUGCAAAGGACAAGUACGAUCAUGUGGUCCACCUCCUCAACUCUCCAAUGGUGAAGUUAAGGAGAUAAGAAAAGAGGAAUAUGGACACAAUGAAGUAGUGGAAUAUGAUUGCAAUCCUAAUUUUAUAAUAAACGGGCCUAAGAAAAUACAAUGUGUGGAUGGAGAAUGGACAACUUUACCCACUUGUGUUGAACAAGUGAAAACAUGUGGAUACAUACCUGAACUCGAGUACGGUUAUGUUCAGCCGUCUGUCCCUCCCUAUCAACAUGGAGUUUCAGUCGAGGUGAAUUGCAGAAAUGAAUAUGCAAUGAUUGGAAAUAACAUGAUUACCUGUAUUAAUGGAAUAUGGACAGAGCUUCCUAUGUGUGUUGCAACACACCAACUUAAGAGGUGCAAAAUAGCAGGAGUUAAUAUAAAAACAUUACUCAAGCUAUCUGGGAAAGAAUUUAAUCAUAAUUCUAGAAUACGUUACAGAUGUUCAGACAUCUUCAGAUACAGGCACUCAGUCUGUAUAAACGGGAAAUGGAAUCCUGAAGUAGACUGCACAGAAAAAAGGGAACAAUUCUGCCCACCGCCACCUCAGAUACCUAAUGCUCAGAAUAUGACAACCACAGUGAAUUAUCAGGAUGGAGAAAAAGUAGCUGUUCUCUGUAAAGAAAACUAUCUACUUCCAGAAGCAAAAGAAAUUGUAUGUAAAGAUGGACGAUGGCAAUCAUUACCACGCUGUGUUGAGUCUACUGCAUAUUGUGGGCCCCCUCCAUCUAUUAACAAUGGAGAUACCACCUCAUUCCCAUUAUCAGUAUAUCCUCCAGGGUCAACAGUGACGUACCGUUGCCAGUCCUUCUAUAAACUCCAGGGCUCUGUAACUGUAACAUGCAGAAAUAAACAGUGGUCAGAACCACCAAGAUGCCUAGAUCCAUGUGUGGUAUCUGAAGAAAACAUGAACAAAAAUAACAUACAGUUAAAAUGGAGAAACGAUGGAAAACUCUAUGCAAAAACAGGGGAUGCUGUUGAAUUCCAGUGUAAAUUCCCACAUAAAGCGAUGAUAUCAUCACCACCAUUUCGAGCAAUCUGUCAGGAAGGGAAAUUUGAAUAUCCUAUAUGUGAAUGAAGCAAGCAUAAUUUUCCUGAAUAUAUUCUUCAAACAUCCAUCUAUGCUAAAAGUAGCCAUUAUGUAGCCAAUUCUGUAGUUACUUCUUUUAUUCUUUCAGGUGUUGUUUAACUCAGUUUUAUUUAGAACUCUGGAUUUUUAGAGCUUUAGAAAUUUGUAAGCUGAGAGAACAAUGUUUCACUUAAUAGGAGGGUGUCUUAGUCCAUAUUACAUUGUUAUAACAGAGUAUCACAGACUGGAUAACUUCUAACCAAUAGUUUAUUUGUUUCAUAAAUCUAAAAGCUGAGAAGUCCAAGAUGGUGGGGCUGCCUCUGGUGAGGGUCUUCUCGAAGCAUCAUAAUAUGCUGGAAGGCAUCACAACAUGGUGGAAGGGAUCACGUGGCAAAAGAGCAUGUACAUGGGAGUGAGAGAAAAAGAGAGAGAGAGACAGAGUGGCGGGGGCGGGGAGGAGCGCAAACUCAUCCUUUAUAAAGACACCACUCCUGAGAUAACAAUCCAAUCCCAUGAUAAUGACAUUAAUCCAUUCAAGAAGAUAGAGCUCUCGUGACUUAAUCACCUUCUAAAGAUCUCACCUGACAACACUGUUGCAUUGGCA
RNAcentral lists this unclassified non-coding RNA (2374 nucleotides) under Homo sapiens (human). Its description in RNAcentral is "complement factor H related 5 (ENSG00000292002.1)". The record is from RNAcentral. Lineage: Eukaryota; Metazoa; Chordata; Mammalia; Primates; Hominidae.